Galleria mellonella (greater wax moth) is the source of this 490-nucleotide long non-coding RNA. RefSeq lists it as uncharacterized. The record is from RefSeq and is a predicted model, not a curated record. The transcript is spliced from 2 exons. Lineage: Eukaryota; Metazoa; Arthropoda; Insecta; Lepidoptera; Pyralidae.
GUAAUGUAAUUCUGAUCAACUAUUUAGGUUAUUUAAUUAAAUUGGUUUUCAUUUUAGACUAAAAAAUCUGAUUGAAUAUAAAAAGUAAAGAAAAUGCAAAGGCUGUUAUCAUUUGUGAAGACCAUAUCUUUAGUUGGACCCAACUUACAUGCUAAUAAUACUUUAUCAUCUGUUUUCAACACUUUGAAAGCUGGACCUGGCAUGCUAGUAACCACCAGUCCUUUAACUAGUAUAGUUUGUGGUAUGAAAGUGAAAGGUCGUGUGAGAAGACGCUGUAAAUCAUGUUAUUUUGUUGUUAGAGAUGAAAGAAUGUACAUAAUGUGUCACAAACAUCCUCGCCAUAAACAAAUGGCUAUGAAACCGAAACCACAUAAUACUUGGAUACUUACUCACGCAAGCCAAAGCCCUGUAAGACCAUGGUGAUUCAGUAUUUAGGAUAUAUGUAAUAUUAAAACUUAGGAAGAAUUAAUUAAAAAACUAUGUCUUCAAA